GCUCAGAACGAACGCUGGCGGCAGGCCUAACACAUGCAAGUCGAGCGCAUCUUCGGAUGAGCGGCGGACGGGUGAGUAACGCGUGGGAACGUGCCCUUCUGUUCGGAAUAGCCCCGGGAAACUGGGAUUAAAGCCGGAUACGCCCUUUUGGGGAAGGAAGGAUCGGCCCGCGUCUGAUUAGGUAGUUGGUGGGGUAACGGCCUACCAAGCCUACGAUCAGUAGCUGGUUUUAGAGGAUGAUCAGCCACACUGGGACUGAGACACGGCCCAGACUCCUACGGGAGGCAGCAGUGGGGAAUCUUAGACAAUGGGGGCAACCCUGAUCUAGCCAUGCCGCGUGAGUGACGAAGGCCCUAGGGUCGUAAAGCUCUUUCGCCUGUGAAGAUAAUGACGGUAGCAGGUAAAGAAACCCCGGCUAACUCCGUGCCAGCAGCCGCGGUAAUACGGAGGGGGUUAGCGUUGUUCGGAAUUACUGGGCGUAAAGCGCGCGUAGGCGGAUCGGAAAGUUGGGGGUGAAAUCCCGGGGCUCAACCCCGGAACGGCCUCCAAAACUGUCGGUCUUGAGUUCGAGAGAGGUGAGUGGAACUCCGAGUGUAGAGGUGAAAUUCGUAGAUCUUCGGAAGAACACCAGUGGCGAAGGCGGCUCACUGGCUCGAUACUGACGCUGAGGUGCGAAAGUGUGGGGAGCAAACAGGAUUAGAUACCCUGGUAGUCCACACCGUAAACGAUGAAUGCCAGACGUCGGGCAGCAUGCUGUUCGGU
Molecule: ribosomal RNA, 762 nt
Filed under: uncultured organism
Description: bacterial SSU rRNA
Rfam family: Bacterial small subunit ribosomal RNA
Source: RNAcentral